CUUGAGAAUCCCCAUUGUCAUCCAGGUUCUUGAACAGUUUCUCAACUGCAUCAUUAUUCUGCCCAGUCUGAAAGAGAGAAAGAAGUGGAUAUAAGACUAACAGGGAAAGGGUAACCAAGGGCAGACUUGUCCCUCUGGACAUUCUAUAUCAUUCCCUAAUGUCUUCAACUGCAAAAAGGAGAGAAAACUGUUCCUUUGAGCCACCUACUUAACCGAGAUUUUGUGAGAAGAAUUAGAUCAAUUUUGGAAAAUUGUAUACAUUUGAAUGAAGAAACCAUCAAUGGAAAUGAUUGUCUAUUGUCAAUCAGCCAGAAUUCCCGAGUCCCAUUUUUCUUACUGUGAGGAAAGAAGAAAAAACAAGAUGAAGGGACAGUAGAGAUAAAAGCAUUAAAGACUGCAUUGUCUCACUCCCUAACUUUUUGGAGAAAAAAUCAAGGAGGAGAGGUACCCUGUGGGGAAAACCUGCAAAGGAACCUAGAGGCAAGACAUCUGAUCAUCCCUGCUCUGCUUGGAGCUGGAGAUGGCUCUCUCAAAAACUACACAAAAAUCCCAGCAACUCGUAGCGCUAGGACUUCAUCAGGAAAUAUAACCCUUGGUCUACUCAACUUUAAGCCUUGGCUCUGCCGUUUAUCAACUGGUCAAGUAACUUUGGCUUUUGGUAUCUCUCCUUAUAUGCAAGAUAAGAUAUGAACCUAUAGGAUAUACCUCUCAGAGUUGUUGUAAAGUUCAAGUGAUCUAUCACACAGUCUCUC
Long non-coding RNA from Sarcophilus harrisii (Tasmanian devil), 752 nucleotides. RefSeq lists it as uncharacterized. The transcript has 3 exons. The record is from RefSeq and is a predicted model, not a curated record. NCBI's taxonomy places the organism in Eukaryota, Metazoa, Chordata, Mammalia, Dasyuromorphia, Dasyuridae.